This is a long non-coding RNA of Mytilus trossulus (common blue mussel), 472 nucleotides long. RefSeq lists it as uncharacterized. The transcript is spliced from 3 exons. NCBI's taxonomy places the organism in Eukaryota, Metazoa, Mollusca, Bivalvia, Mytilida, Mytilidae. The record is from RefSeq and is a predicted model, not a curated record.
ACAUAAAAUACAGGUUUUAUAUAUUUGGGAAUACUUGAUCGUCCACUUUAGACCGGUAGAAUAACUUGAUCGUCCACUAAAUUAAUAUUGAGAAGGAUGAAACACAUUUUACUCUGUGUUUUUCUUGUUGUUACCUUGCUGCUAGUGUGCGAUGGUCAAGUAAUACCCGGAACUUGUCGGUGUUUCCCAAAUGAUUGUCCAGAUCCAUUUGAAGAGGUAUACUACCCCGGAGACUGUGAGGGAUAUAACGACUAUUACAGACGUAUCAUUUACAAGAGAUGUUGUUUAAUGAAGUUUUGGUUCGUUGAUUGACCAUAGAAAAUCUCCAAAACAAUUUGAGUAUAGAUGCAACGGGUAGAAAUAGGAAAGCCUCACCAUGGGUGGAAUUAUUUGAGACAAAGGGAUUGUUAACUUUGUUAAUACAUUUUUGUACGUCUGUUUGUACUGAUGUUCAAUAAAUACGUUAUUGCAA